GGGGAAUAUUGGACAAUGGGGGAAACCCUGAUCCAGCCAUGCCGCGUGUGUGAAGAAGGCCUUUUGGUUGUAAAGCACUUUAAGCAGUGAAGAAGACUCUUCGGUUAAUACCCGGAGACGAUGACAUUAGCUGCAGAAUAAGCACCGGCUAACUCUGUGCCAGCAGCCGCGGUAAUACAGAGGGUGCAAGCGUUAAUCGGAAUUACUGGGCGUAAAGCGAGCGUAGGUGGCUUGAUAAGUCAGAUGUGAAAUCCCCGGGCUUAACCUGGGAACUGCAUCUGAUACUGUCAGGCUAGAGUAGGUGAGAGGAAGGUAGAAUUCCAGGUGUAGCGGUGAAAUGCGUAGAGAUCUGGAGGAAUACCGAUGGCGAAGGCAGCCUUCUGGCAUCAUACUGACACUGAGGCUCGAAAGCGUGGGUAGCAAAC
This 425-nucleotide ribosomal RNA is filed under the name uncultured bacterium. Its description in RNAcentral is "bacterial SSU rRNA". It matches the Rfam family "Bacterial small subunit ribosomal RNA", at positions 356 to 773 of the family's 1533-position model. The record is from RNAcentral.